AAACUACACACAAUUAUAAUCAAACUUCCCUGUUUACAUUGGCUUCUGCGAAGCUUAAAGUUAGAUUUUAUUCUCAAUCACAGCAACAAUAUUCACCCAGGGCUACUGUGUAGUACAACUAUAGGGGACUUCAAGUCAGGCCACGGUUGCAGACAUUUAGAUGAGAAAGAUUGAUCUCUGGAAAAAUGAAGUUCUUAUUUCUGAGUCCAGACUUACUUUGAAGAUUCCCUCCCGCCACUCCAUCCCUCAACCCAGGUGUCUUGAAGAGCCACUAUUCCUUCGAAGAGGGGUAUCUUUUAUGCCUCCUUGAAAUGGAUGAUAAUUUUCUCCUAGGGGAAGGUGGCAAAGGGCACUUGCCAUUGGAAAAGUGAUUAUCUAAAGAGUCUCUCUGGAAGUUCAGCUUGAAAGGACUCUCUUUCUGUGUUUGUUCACUAGAUAUUAAGGGAAGUGCUAGGAAAAACUUGAAGAGGACACACUUGUCAGAACCCAAAAGGCCAUUACUCUACUUCCCUUAUGCCAAAUCUAGGUCAGAGUGCACCUGUGACUUGCCCUGGACACUGAGAGGUCACAUCCACACAGGACUAGUCCUUACUAUUCCACAGAUACAUGAUGAAGCCUGUGCAAGAUCUGAUAGUCUACACAGAGCUACUCCAUAAAUUUCCCAGGAAAGGGUAACUCAUGAGUCAUCAAAUAUUUGCACAAUCUGAAUCUUCCAGAGGUCAAGGAAUAAUUGUAAAUGGUAUUUGGACUGAUGGCUCUGUAGUUCAGAAGGUGCUUGAUUGUGCAUGUGUGUGUGUAUAGAUUUGAGAGGAGCAUAGCUCUCUAUCCUCAUCUACUUUCAACUUAUACUUCUCAAUUUUAUUACUGUUUGUUAUUGGAGGAAAGAAUGGUUUUGACAUCAGUGGCAAAGUUGUCAAGAUCUUGGCUGAUUUAUUCCUGAAUUAUCUGGCACGAAGUCUCACUGAAAAGUUCAUAGUUAUAUUUUAUGUACUGCAACCAAGAUAUGGAAAUAACUUUAGCUUACAAAAUGGAUAUUUCUGGAUCUAUACUUGGACCUAUAGAAAUAUGUGAAAUCAGACAAAAGCAGAAGUGAUGGUAAGAUUAUAUUCAGUAAUUCAUCUAGCCAAUGAUAAUAUCUGGGCCUUUGGGAGAAGGCCGUGAGGAAUGUUUUAUGAGGCUGAAGAAAUGUGGAUAAUAAAAAUGUAGUUGGCUAUGAAGACCUUCCUAAUAUAAAAAGUUGUUAAGUCUUAGAAUCACUUCUUAAGUGCUGAUGGAAUUUUCUGUUUUAAGAGAAUAGAUAGCUGGCCGGUGGCUUAGGGCUUUACUAUUCAAAGCAUAGUCCAAAGAUCAGCAACAUUAGUGUCACCUGGGAGCUUGUUAGAACUGCCUGGACACCACCACAGAGCUACCAAUUAGAAUCUGCGGUUUAACAAGAUGCCCAAGUUAUUUGUAGGCAUGCUAAAGUUUGAGAAGCAAACAGGCUUGGAACAGUGUUCUCAAACUUGACUGCAUAUGAGAUAAAGUGGGGAACAUUAAAAAUAUUGAUGCCUGUCUAGGUGUGCUGCUUCACACCUGUAAUCCUUGCACUUUGGGAGGCCGAGGUGGGUGGAUCAUGAAGUCGGGAGUUCAAGACCAGCCUGGCCAACAUGGUGAAACCCUGUCUCUACUAAAAAUACAAAAAUUAACUGGGUGUGGUGGCAUGUGCCUGUAGUCCCAGCUACUUGGGAGACUGAGGCAGGAGAAUUGCUUGAAUCUGGGAGGCAGAGGUUGCAGUGAGCCAAGACUGUGCCAUUGCACUCCAGUCUGUGUGACAGAGUGAGACUCUGUCUCAAAAAAAAAAAAAAAAAAAAAAA
RNAcentral lists this long non-coding RNA (1853 nucleotides) under Macaca fascicularis (crab-eating macaque). Its description in RNAcentral is "lncRNA (ENSMFAG00000054085.1)". Lineage: Eukaryota; Metazoa; Chordata; Mammalia; Primates; Cercopithecidae. The record is from RNAcentral.